GGGGAUGCCAGGUCUCGACGGGAGAAGCUGGUUCCGGAUUGCGAGCCGAGAGGUACCGACCUCGAUAAAUCAGUACAAACAACAAGUGCCAAAAGCACAAACUACGCUACCCUCCCUCUCGCUGCAUAAGCGGGAUCGAAGUAGCUGACCUCCACAUUUGAGGUCACGUCUCCUGAGGCCGUCCUUCCGGCCGGAAUCAGUCAAGGCGUCAUAAAAGCCGGAAUGCUGCCAGGUGCGCCGUGAACCUGGCCUAAGAGGGCUUUCGGGCUCAAGCGGAUUGUCUGCGUAAAGUUUGGUCAGUUGACCUUUGCGCGGAUGAAAAUGAAUAACUGACUACGCUCGUAGAGAUCCGAGGGUCUAAUCUUUCGGACGCGGGUUCGACUCCCGCCAUCUCCACCU
Molecule: transfer-messenger RNA, 399 nt
Filed under: Anaerolineaceae
Lineage: Bacteria; Bacillati; Chloroflexota; Anaerolineae; Anaerolineales
Also listed under: 1 other name
Description: 49-20 sp012797215 Standard tmRNA
Rfam family: transfer-messenger RNA
About the family: Bacterial tmRNA, also known as 10Sa RNA or SsrA, is named for its dual tRNA and mRNA-like properties.
Source: RNAcentral